GCUUACGGCCAUACACCUGAACACGCCCGAUCUCGGAAGCUAAGCAGGGUAGGGCCUGGUUAGUACUUGGAUGGGAGACCGCCUGGGAAUACCAGGUGCUGUAAGCU
This 107-nucleotide ribosomal RNA is filed under the name Labrus bergylta (ballan wrasse). Lineage: Eukaryota; Metazoa; Chordata; Actinopteri; Labriformes; Labridae. The record is from RNAcentral.